This 223-nucleotide long non-coding RNA is filed under the name Daucus carota (carrot). RNAcentral describes it as "long non-coding RNA (DCAR_LNC002331)". Lineage: Eukaryota; Viridiplantae; Streptophyta; Magnoliopsida; Apiales; Apiaceae. The record is from RNAcentral.
UACAGUCUGGAUUAUAUCUUACAUUUUCCAGAAUUCAAAAGUAAAUACAAGAAGCCAUUGUUCCUCUAGCCUGAACUAAUCUUUCCUUGCUUUCUUGGCUCUUGCAUUAAUCAGCUUCAACUCAGCUUUUCUCUUUGCAGCUUCUUCCUCCUUCUUCUGAGUGAGCUUGUUUUCAAUCUCUUCAAUCCUAGCAGUGAUGGUACUCAGUGCCACUUGCUCCAGU